Molecule: long non-coding RNA, 833 nt
Organism: Cyprinus carpio carpio
Lineage: Eukaryota; Metazoa; Chordata; Actinopteri; Cypriniformes; Cyprinidae
Source: Ensembl
GCUCUUAUUAAUGAAAGUUUGGGCUUUUAAUGACAUCUUAUGAGAAAAGGAGCGGUUUUGAUAGCUUUGUAAAUGUUUUUGCUGAUAAUUUGUCAAUAGAUAAAUGGAAGUAAGCUAAGUAAUUUAACCUAAAAGUCUGCACUGUAGAGUCUAUCAGUGACGUCACUUGCAUGCAGUCUAAAAUGGGCUGAAACUAUUUCAAACCACUGUUUCAAACACGUUUUGAUUUUUCAUUGUAAACAAAUAUUGAUAUAAAUUUUACUGGACUUCAGGAGCCUGAUCGAGACGGUGCGCAGCAUAUCGCCUGCACGAUGAUCAUGUCAGGACCGCUUCACCAUGUAUAGAUGAGGACACGAAAGGUUCAGUAGACUUUUUGCUUUAAAUGAAUGGUUAUUGUCAUGGUGUAAAGAACAGAAACUGCUUUUUGUUAACAUUUGGAAUCUGUUCUGGGAGCGUCCUAGGCUUUUUAGUGCUGAUGGCCUGCACCCCAGCAGAGUCGGAGCAGAACUUCUCUCGGACAACAUCUCCAGGACUCUACGCUCCAUAUGACUAGGCAGUUUGUGAAGACAGAUAAUCAAGAGAUGUGACAAACUGUACAGAAGUCAGUUCCAGAUCCACCCUCUACACCAGACCUCUCUCUCAUAUGGAUUGCUGUCUACUAGCAUAUUGUUUUCUCUUCAGACUUCGGUGGAUGCAGAUAUUACUCAGGGACAUGAAUACUUGAAUAUUGCAAGAAUAGAGAAAGUAAGAAUUACAUAAGAUUUAAGAAUUUAAUGUUAAUUGCUUAAACUAUAUAUUAUACAUACAGUACAGACCAAAAAUACCGAAAAAAA